RNAcentral lists this long non-coding RNA (131 nucleotides) under Cavia porcellus (domestic guinea pig). Its description in RNAcentral is "lncRNA (ENSCPOG00000030902.1)". Lineage: Eukaryota; Metazoa; Chordata; Mammalia; Rodentia; Caviidae. The record is from RNAcentral.
GUCCAGUUGAGGGUGAUUGGCAGGCUGUGACAUGAAAGGUCACCUUGCUCAAUCCUGUUCUUGUUCUUCAGCAUUUGCUUUCAGGAGGAAGAAAAUAUCCCAAGCAGUGGGAUAUUGUGGAAAGAGUCCAG